RNAcentral lists this ribosomal RNA (253 nucleotides) under uncultured bacterium. RNAcentral describes it as "partial 16S ribosomal RNA". It matches the Rfam family "Bacterial small subunit ribosomal RNA", at positions 524 to 776 of the family's 1533-position model. The record is from RNAcentral.
UACGAGAGGCCCAAACGUUAUUCGGAUUUACUGGGCUUAAAGAGUUCGUAGGCGGCUUGGAAAGUGGGGUGUGAAAGCCCUCGGCUCAACCGAGGAAUUGCGCUCCAAACUACCGAGCUUGAGUAGGCUAGAGGUGAGCAGAACUGAUGGUGGAGCGGUGAAAUGCGUUGAUAUCGUGAGGAACACCAGAGGCGAAGGCGGCUACCUGGACAAUUGCUGACGCUCAGGCACGAAAGCGUGGGGAGCAAAAGGG